This 230-nucleotide long non-coding RNA is filed under the name Elaeis guineensis (African oil palm). Its description in RNAcentral is "long non-coding RNA (EGUI_LNC081408)". Lineage: Eukaryota; Viridiplantae; Streptophyta; Magnoliopsida; Arecales; Arecaceae. The record is from RNAcentral.
CUACUUAUUUUUCAGAUCUUAAAGUAUGAAUUGCAUUUAAUUGGUUGAUCUGGAUUCCUUGUUGUGGUUCUUGAUUGUUUUGGGUCUUAAGAUUAGCCUCGAAUUGACUCGGUAGUUUGCCUUUUUCUCUUUCACUUACAGUUGUGGCUAAUUGACCUAAUUGCAUCUCUAAACGGGUAAUAGCCUGGGUGUUGGAAGUUAAAAGCUGGCCUGUGGUCUGCAUGAAGUUG